UACAGAGGUGGCAAGCGUUGUUCGGAAUUACUGGGCGUAAAGGGCGCGUAGGCGGCCAUCUAAGUCAGACGUGAAAUCCCCCGGCUUAACCUGGGAACUGCGUCUGAUACUGGACGUCUUGAGUAUGGGAGAGGGAUGUAGAAUUCCAGGUGUGGCGGUGAAAUGCGUAGAUAUCUGGAGGAAUACCGGUGGCGAAGGCGGCAUCCUGGACCAUUACUGACGCUGAGGCGCGAAAGCUAGGGGAGCAAACGGG
This 253-nucleotide ribosomal RNA is filed under the name uncultured bacterium. Its description in RNAcentral is "partial 16S ribosomal RNA". It matches the Rfam family "Bacterial small subunit ribosomal RNA", at positions 524 to 776 of the family's 1533-position model. The record is from RNAcentral.